GGAAAGAUUCUUAGCUGCAUCGCAUCACACCCUGAAUUAAAAAAUGACCUUCAGUGCUCAAUCAAUCUGAAUUUUCAAGUUUGGCCUUUGAAUGUGUUGCUCUUUCUAACUGGAGGUAACCAGACUCGAUUAACAUAUAUCUACGUUCAAGAAGAUUCGCCAACAUUAAUCACAUGUAAAGCUAUCGGAUCUUUCCCAGCAGUGGAACUCUCAUUAUCUCUUAACUCUGACAUUAUUCCCAUCACUAAUUCUUCAAAGACUUCAAGUCUUUUCGAUGAGGAGUUGUUCGACACUGAGACUACCAUCAAAAUACGCUCGUCAAAAACAGACCAUGGAAAAUACAUUCACUGUUAUGCAUUCAUGGACAGCAAGGUUGUUGGCCAAAACCUUUCUAAAUUAAGGGUUUACGGCCCACCAGAUGACGCUUAUAUCACCAUUCCAGCGGAUCUGCAAGAUGGUAUGGAAACAAAUGUAACAUGCAGAACAUCUAAUGGAUACCCAGCUCAUCUCAUUCAUUGGUACGUUGGGUCAAGAAACCUUACAGAUAAUUCAUCGCUGGAGUCUUCAUUGAAUAUAGCUGGUCGAUACGAUGCUGUAAGCACUCUGACUUUCGUACCGAAGAGGGUAUACCAUGGACAACGUCUUCUAUGCCAGGCAGUUCAACCUGAAACACCCUUCGGUCGGUCAUUGAAUGAUAGCAUGGUU
Lytechinus variegatus (green sea urchin) is the source of this 705-nucleotide long non-coding RNA. RefSeq lists it as uncharacterized. Lineage: Eukaryota; Metazoa; Echinodermata; Echinoidea; Temnopleuroida; Toxopneustidae. The record is from RefSeq and is a predicted model, not a curated record. The transcript is spliced from 3 exons.